GUGGGGGAUAUUGGACAAUGGGGGGAACCCUGAUCCAGCGACGCCGCGUGAGUGAAGAAGUAUUUCGGUAUGUAAAGCUCUGUCAGCAGGGAAGAAAGAAAUGACGGUACCUGACCAAGAAGCCCCGGCUAACUACGUGCCAGCAGCCGCGGUAAUACGUAGGGGGCAAGCGUUAUCCGGAAUUACUGGGUGUAAAGGGAGCGUAGACGGUUAAGUAAGUCUGGAGUGAAAGGCCGGGGCCCAACCCCGGGACUGCUCUGGAAACUAUUUAACUUGAGUGCAGGAGAGGUAAGCGGAAUUCCUAGUGUAGCGGUGAAAUGCGUAGAUAUUAGGAGGAACACCAGUGGCGAAGGCGGCUUACUGGACUGUAACUGACGUUGAGGCUCGAAAGCGUGGGGAGCAAACAGGAUUAGAAACCCGGGUAGUCC
Molecule: ribosomal RNA, 428 nt
Filed under: uncultured Lachnospiraceae bacterium
Lineage: Bacteria; Bacillati; Bacillota; Clostridia; Lachnospirales; Lachnospiraceae
Description: bacterial SSU rRNA
Rfam family: Bacterial small subunit ribosomal RNA
Source: RNAcentral